RNAcentral lists this small RNA (133 nucleotides) under Chimaeribacter californicus. RNAcentral describes it as "Yersiniaceae bacterium 2015Iso6 RtT sRNA". It matches the Rfam family "RtT RNA". From Rfam's summary of the family: This family represents a bacterial cis-regulatory element known as RtT RNA. The exact function of RtT is unknown although it is thought that it may be involved in changing the cellular response in relation to amino acid starvation. The record is from RNAcentral. Lineage: Bacteria; Pseudomonadati; Pseudomonadota; Gammaproteobacteria; Enterobacterales; Yersiniaceae.
UAGCGCAGUGGGUAGAGCAGUUGACUUUUAAUCAAUUGAUCAAAGGUUCGAGCCGAGCGAAGCGAGACGACAACGCGCCAGCGUUGCCCGAAGGGCGAGGCCAGAGGCCGAGUCAAUCCUGCACGACCCACCA